This 1955-nucleotide long non-coding RNA is filed under the name Heterocephalus glaber (naked mole-rat). Its description in RNAcentral is "lncRNA (ENSHGLG00100047429.1)". Lineage: Eukaryota; Metazoa; Chordata; Mammalia; Rodentia; Bathyergidae. The record is from RNAcentral.
CCCCAGGCAAUUGCUCACUCCCUGAUCUUGUUAGGAAUGACUAAUGUCUUGUGGUCCUUAAGAUCUGCUCCAGGCACUGCCCCUCCCACAGGAUGUGGCCAUAUGGGUUGAAUCUUGGGGGCUGGGGUUGUUUGGUACAUUGUGGCACUGGAAAGAUGCCCCGAGAGUCAGUCCUUCAGCACAUGCCCCAAUUGUGCAGCUGUGUGAGUCCAUGUGUCCUAAGCCAUCACGUCCUGCUUUCCUGUAUCCUUUUAUAAAAAGAUAGCUAGGGAACUGAAUGUCAUUUUCAAAGCUAUGAGAUUCAGAGUGGUACAUGAUGGCUUUUAAGGAGCACGUGGAAGAUCCACAUUCUGUCGUAUUCGGGGUCCGUGUGAGCGAGUGUAUGCAUAUGUGUGAUAAAUACAACCCAGUGUUCUUUUAUGUGACUGCAAAUAUCCUUAACAAGUGUAAUACUGUUGAGAGUGUUGUGAAGCUGGGUGUGUUUUCCACUGUGUGUCUGUGGGGCUGUAGCUGUCAUGGUGUCACAGUGAGUUUACGGACUGGUGCCUGCGCGUGUCAAGCUAUGUGUGAACCUCCCCAUAAAUAGCAGCAGAGCCAGAGCGGAGCCAUGGCGCCAGCGGCUGGAGCAGCAAGGAGUCAGGGCCAGGCUCAGAACCGGAGAGAGGAGCCCCCCGACUGCGUGAGCCCAGGUGAGCCCACCUGUCCUCCCCAGCCCAGCCCCAGCCCAGCCCAGCCUGGCUCAGUCUCCAUAACAACAUCUCCUCUAACCCCCAGGGAGGUCCCCAGCCCUGCCCGAUCCCCUCACCACCACAUGUCCCUGCCUACCUCAGAAGACCCACCAGAACUGGGAGACUAGCAUAGCAGCCAGGAAGCCAGAGCCCCAGCCCAGACCCUCCCUCACAUACCCAGAAAGACACACGUGGUGGAGGAGGUGGUGGGUAUCCAGCCAGAGAAGGCUCCCCAUUCUGAGGGGAGGUAAGGAACUGUCACACCCUCCUGGAGAUGGACACAUGACAGAUGGGGACAGACACAGAGGGGGGGGCGUCCAGACACAUUGAUGCACACUCGCCUGGGGGAAGCUGCGGCAUGGGAUCAGACAGCCUCACUCUGACAUCUGGCCAGAAACAGCUGGAUGGACUGACCGGCCGUGAACUCAGGCCACAGUGCCCCGCCUGCUGCUGCCCGAGGCUCGGUACCACCGCUGGGGGAGGCUGGUGCGCAUGCAUCCCCAUGGACAGAACGGAGGGGGCUGUGAGCUCCCCCAAAUCCUGUCGCUAAGAGACAGUGCCACUGCUGCCAAGAAGUGUGAGAACAGGGGAGGUGGGAGGAGGAAAGGCUUCUCGUCAGUGGGAGCCCUGCGGGAGCCUGGGGGAGCUUUCCGGCAGAGACCUGGUCCUGAUCUUAACUCCAAGCCCACCACCCUCCUUCCCACGAGCCAGCCAGAGAUGACUGAAGGGAUAGGGAGGCAGCCCAGCAGAGCACCUUCCCACCUGUCUCCUCUACCCACUGCAGACUCCAUUCCUGAAGCCUGUUCUUUCAGACCUUCAGGGGCCUCUCCAGCCCCUGCCCCAGCCCCUUGUCCCAGUUCAGCUCCCUCAUGCCAAGACUGAGUGCAGUGCUGGCUCAAACACCAGUCGGGAAAUAGCAGAAGGUGCUGAGACAGCAGAAAGUGUGGAUCAAUCGAUGGCCUGGGAGCCAAGGCUGCCAGAAACCCAGCUUGCAUCCCAACCCUCCAGCCCUUUCAAGCCCCAUCCACACACACCUGGUGACAUGUCUGACCCUGAGAUGGGAUGUGGUGCCUGAGCCCCCAACCAUGACGUUGGGGGCCUCCCCUGGUGGAGCUGGGAUGAGUAUCCUGCCAUGGCCUCUUGGACCGGAGACACUCUGGCCAAGCCCCACCCCUGUGUGCUGCUCAAGCUGUACUCUGACGCAAGCAAUGGGUAGAGGGGUAGAGC